UGAGGAAUAUUGGUCAAUGGGCGCAGGCCUGAACCAGCCAAGUCGCGUGAGGGAAGACUGCCCUAUGGGUUGUAAACCUCUUUUAUAAGGGAAGAAUAAUGACUACGUGUAGUCAGAUGCCCGUACCUUAUGAAUAAGCAUCGGCUAACUCCGUGCCAGCAGCCGCGGUAAUACGGAGGAUGCGAGCGUUAUCCGGAUUUAUUGGGUUUAAAGGGUGCGUAGGCGGUAUUUUAAGUUAGUGGUAAAACGUCGGGGCUUCACCUUGAUUGGCCAUUAAAACUGGAGUACUAGAGUACAGACGAGGUAGGCGGAAUAAGUUAAGUAGCGGUGAAAUGCUUAGAUAUAACUUAGAACCCCGAUAGCGAAGGCAGCUUACCAGACUGUUACUGACGCUGAAGCACGAGAGCGUGGGUAGCGAACAGG
RNAcentral lists this ribosomal RNA (423 nucleotides) under uncultured bacterium. RNAcentral describes it as "bacterial SSU rRNA". It matches the Rfam family "Bacterial small subunit ribosomal RNA", at positions 355 to 776 of the family's 1533-position model. The record is from RNAcentral.